Molecule: long non-coding RNA, 3383 nt
Filed under: Homo sapiens (human)
Lineage: Eukaryota; Metazoa; Chordata; Mammalia; Primates; Hominidae
Description: non-protein coding lnc-MSTN-2:2
Source: RNAcentral
UUUUACAUUAUUUUUCUCCCCAGUCUCACCUUCUGUGUCUCUUUGAUCUUUGUCUUUUCCAGUCUCUCUCUUGCUCAUUUUCUUCUUUUAUUUCUCUUUCUGUCAUCCCCUGUUUCCUUUUUCCCUCAAACUCAGUUUCUUCCUCUUUCUCUCUCUGGGCAUGAGCUGAGCCUUAACUGUGCCCUGGCUCCCCCGUGUCUGACAGACAGUUCUGACUCUUUUUCUCUGGGCACCAGCACACCUGCACAGUGUCUUACACUGCCUUCCCUGUCUUGGCUGCUUAGUCCAGUGGCUCCCACACACACAGCUGUGCACCAGGCUUUCCCUUGCCUUCAGGGUCAGCAGCUUAACUCUUUCUCUGGCCCUCUACGUUUGCUGUUUCCUCCCCUUUAUCUUUCUGAUUUCCUUUCUUUUCAUCGAUGUUUCCCCCUUUCUUCUUACAGAAACCUUCUGAGCUUCCCUUAGUAAUUCCUUAAUUGGUUUUUCAUUCCAUCCAUUAACCUUUUGCAGUUUCUUAGUAAUAUCAGGCCAGCUUUUAGUCAGAAAAUUAACCUUUAAAAUUAAAGGCCUUGCCCUACUGGGUCCUCUGGAUUUAAUCCUGAAUAUUUUCGCAUUUGAUCACUGAGCCUCUGCAGCAACACAGAGGGAGUCUCCUCCUUUUUUGUUGUUGAAUCUCAAAUGCUUUUGAGACAUUUUAUGUCCUAGGAGUGGACUUUUUAAUCCCUUUAAUUAUUAGUUCCCUUAGGUCCUGCAUUUGGGCCCGAUCUCUUUAUUGUUAUCCCAUCCAGGAUCUGCAUUUAGGAAUUUCUGCUCAGUUGGCAGGACUUCUUGCCUGGGAGGACGCUGUCUUUCCCAAAUGGUUAUGGCUGCCCUUAUAAUUAUUCCCCUCUCUUCCCCAGUAAACACAAUAUUCAUGAUUGACAUCAUCUCAGCCUAAGUAUAAAAAUUGGGUCCUAAAAAUUGAUCUAGCUGCUAAACCGAGGGGAUCUCUGCUAAGCUGAGGUUUGCUCUGCUAAACCGAGGGGAUCUUCCAAGAAUGGCCUCAUUUCCUUUUUAAAAUUCCUAACCUCAGUACUUGUUAGAGGUGCAUUCACAAACCCAACUCCUCCCUGUCCCAUAGGGACUUCUCUAAGAGAGUACUUAUUAGACGUCUACUGUUCAGAAGAAAUAGGGAAAUUCUCAAUGUCCUUCUUACAUUGUUCUAAUUCUUUCCUCAAGUUUGGAUAAGGAUUUAAGGGAGCACUGGGUUUAGCUCCUUCAUGAUCCCCAGAUUCCUCUUUCCUCGACCUUCCUCUUGCCCCCGAUCUCCCUGUCCUCUACCUUGUGAGAUGUUUGGGGGAGGGGCAAGCGUGUUGGGGAUCCCAGGGCUUUUCACUGGGUGAGGGCUCUUUACUGUGCUCUUCCUCUUUAAGGGGGAACAUGGGGUUAAAUCACUAAUCCAACAAAGAACAUAACCCACAUCCUCUGUGAGUAUGGGUUUUAUCAUUCACGUAGAGAAUUAAAGCUUGGCACACCCAGUCCUCAUCUGAGCCAAACUUAGGCCAAAAGACCAAAGGCUGACAAAUGGGCUUUUUGGGCCAGAUAAAACAGCAAUACUCUAUCAUCUUUUGCUUUUCCUUGUUCCUGGUUUGGGGAUUAUCCAUUCAAACCUGCAACAUUCUCCCCAAGGGACUAUCUGGGAGAAUGUCAGAGGGGGUCUUUUUAGUUCGCUCUUUCCUUUGUUCUGUAGGCCUAGAAUUCCUGUUUCCCAUUUUCACUUAGUCUCUGUGUCAGGUUUUUGCUGUGUACUCAGCCCCCCUUACUGGAGGUUUCUUGCACACUCCGGGUUCUCUGAAAAUGCCCCAAUACCAAGGCAGUACUGAUAAUCCAACUUUCCUACCUUGGAUCAUGCAGGAGGUUGGCUGGUUGCCAUGGUGCCUGCUUUUCUCCUUGUGUCACCUCCGCUGUCUCCUGAACAAGACUUGGGUUUGUCUGUGGCUUCUGCGGGGAGCCAAGAUGUCCAGAGCAGGCCACAUAAAUCAAGUGGGGUGCGUCUCCCUUCUCGGCUGGAGUCUUAACUCCAUACAGGCACAGAGAUAGCCGUAUGGGCCACCAGGUUGUGAGAAACAAUUCACCCGUCCAAACCCACAGAAUGGACUCAGAGACCCGGACAGUAGCAAAAGCGAGACUUUUAAUGACGGUCUUGCAAGAUUGGGUGUCUGGUGUGCAGGCACACCCGGCACAGUUUUAACAAGCAACUUAACCUCCUAGUGCACAGGUCCCUCCCCCGGUUCCUUAUAGGCUGAGUCCUAUAGGGUCACAGUCAUCCCGGACGUCACCUGUUGAGUGUUAGGUAGCAGCUUUAGGUGUUUUUUUUUAGGGUUGUCUUGCUGCAUUUUGUUGCAGCCCACAAUGCAUUGCAAUCCUAGUUAGUUCAGGGGCUCUUGAAGUAUUUGACUUAUGACCUAAGUAGCUGGGCAGGAUGAUAAGAACAGACAAAGUGAGCUAUUUUGCAGACUAGUAUCUAGGCUAAACUUCUUUGGUUCGGGUGAGGGCAGCUAAGUGGGGGAAAAGGGGACGAAGCGGGAGGCUGACAAGCAGGCAUUGGCUAUUGAAGCAGGGGCCUAGUAUCCUGUUUCUUCUGUAGUUUGCUGACCUAUGCCGAUUCAAGACACUUUGUCCCGGAAAUGGACCACUGUAUGCGUUAUUUUCUAUACUCCAUGAAUAUGAUUGGUUUGUAAGGUGUGUAUUGAUUUUAUUUAAGUGUAAUUGCUGUUUGCUUAGCCAAUUGGCAUAAUUUAUGCUAAGCAAACUACAAAUAUGGAUUUAUUUUAUUAGUCACAGCUACAGAAUUUAUUCCACUUGUGGAAUGAUGUUUUGUUUUUGUAGCAGAUUAGAAAAGUUUUGUUUGGUGCUUUGGCAGGAUUAAGCUAGGGUAUAAUCUUUUAUGAGAUUUUGGCAUAUUUUAAUAUUAUUUACAUAGACACUCUGCCCAUUUAUUAUAGACAAUAAAGGAACUAUUGGACUAACAGUAGUAAAUUUUUUCCUCCAAAAGGUAAUUAAUAAAAUGUCUCCAACAUCUCUAAAGAUCACACUAAGGCAACUCAUGGAGGGGUCUUCAAAGACCUUGCAAGAAGUACUAACUAUGGAGUAUCGGCUAAGUCAAGCUUGUAUGAGAGGUCAUGACUUUCAUGAAGGCGUUAGAGCUGGUAAGUGGCAAAUGGGAACUUACCAUUUUGGGGAAAUGGGAUUUGUGAGCAUAUGCUGUUAAUUAAAGAAGAUACAGAUUAUGCAUCCCAAAUCCUAAAAUCCAAAAUGUACCAAAAUCUGAAACUAUUUGAGCACCAACAUGACACUCAAAUGUUCAUUGGACCAUAAGUAUAAUGCAAAUAUUCCAAAAUCUG